GACUUGGUGAGUGGUCUCAAUUAUUGGUUUGAAGCUAUUAAAGUGGGGUUCAAUUCCUCGACAAGUCU
RNAcentral lists this transfer RNA (68 nucleotides) under Spirobranchus giganteus. RNAcentral describes it as "tRNA-Ser". The record is from RNAcentral. Lineage: Eukaryota; Metazoa; Annelida; Polychaeta; Sabellida; Serpulidae.